UGUCUGUUGUGAUGAACCACAACGGUAUGUCACUAAGGUUAGCUUUUUAAAAAGGCCUCCUUCCUUGAUUACACAUCCUAAACUGAUCAUAUAUUCUGAGCAAACA
This is a non-coding RNA of Triticum aestivum (bread wheat), 106 nucleotides long. The record is from Rfam. NCBI's taxonomy places the organism in Eukaryota, Viridiplantae, Streptophyta, Magnoliopsida, Poales, Poaceae.